UACCCCAUAGUAUUGCUGAGAGGCAUUUCUUGGCGAAUUAAAGUUUUGGCGGUCAGAGAUCGGUGUGCCGUCCGAUUAGCUAGUUGGCGGGGUAACCGGCCCACCAAGGCGACGAUCGGUAGGGGGUGUGAGAGCAUGACCCCCCACAUGGGUACUGAGACACGGACCCAACUCCUACGGGAGGCAGCAGUAAGGAAUAUUGGACAAUGGUCGGAAGACUGAUCCAGCCAUGCCGCGUGAAGGACGAAGGCGCUCAGCGUUGUAAACUUCUUUUGGAUGGGGAUAAUAAUCUCGAUUUAUCGGGACUUGAAGGUACCAUCAGAAUAAGCACCGGCUAACUCCGUG
RNAcentral lists this ribosomal RNA (345 nucleotides) under uncultured bacterium. RNAcentral describes it as "bacterial SSU rRNA". It matches the Rfam family "Bacterial small subunit ribosomal RNA", at positions 167 to 507 of the family's 1533-position model. The record is from RNAcentral.